AUGACUAACGGUAAUUAAAGGAGUGUAAAGACUAAAAUGCCCUUAUACUUUAAUACAUAUGUUACUCCUUUCUCAACACUCCCCCUCAAGCUAGGUGGUGAGAAAAUGUUUAGAACUCCUAGCUUGGACAUUAGAUGUUCAUGUUGAAUUCUGUUGAGACCUUUAGUAAGAAUAUCUGCAGGUUGAUCUUUGCUAGGGAUGUACUUUAUUACUAUCAGUCCUUGUACUAUUCUUUCUCUUAUGAAGUGGCAAUCUAUUUCGAUGUGUUUGGUUCUCUCAUGGUAUACAGGAUUAGCUGCAAUCUGGAUAGCAACUUUACUAUCACUGUGUACUUCAAUGGGUAAGGUUACUUCAAUGCCAAUUUCUUUCAUGAGACCUUGUAGCCAAAUGAGUUCAGCUACUGUAGCUGCAAUGCUUCUGUAUUCAGCCUCUGCAGAACUUCUAGAUACUAUCGUUUGCUUCUUUGAUUUUCAGGCUACUAAUGAGUCUCCUAUCUUGAUUAAGUACCAUGUUACUGAUUUUCUGGAAAUUGGAUAUGCUGCCCAGUCUGCAUCACAGUAGGCAGUAAUGUUGUUGUUGUUUGAACUGGAUAAUAGAAUCCCUCUUCCUGGUUGAUUCUUGAUAUAUUUGACAAUCCUCAUUGCUGCUUCCAUAUGUGAUCUUUCAGGCUGUUGUAAGAACUGACUAAGUGUUUGAACACUGAAGGAAAUAUCUGGCCUGGUCAUUGUUAGAUAAAGUAGUCCGCCUAUCAAUCUUUGAUAUGAAUUAGUAUCUGCAGGAGGAUCAUAUGUUACCUGGUCUUUGCAGUGAUCAUCAUAUUCUCUGGUUGUCAGUUUUGUAUUAGUGUUUAGUGGAGUAGCUAUGGGUCUAGCAGCACUUAACCCAAGUUCUGAUAUAAGCUCUUGAGUAUACUUCCUUUGAUGCAUUAGUAUCCCUUGUUUAGAUCUUGCAAACUCAAUACCUAAGAAGUAUAUUAGUUCACCUGGAUCUUUCAUUUUAAACACCUGAUGCAAGUUGUUUUUUGUUUCUUCAAUCAAUUUCAAACUAUCACAUGUUAUCAACAUAUCAUCAACAGAUACUAAAACCAUAGUGAUACCCUCAAGAGUCUUCUUUAUAAAUAAAGAGUGAUCAAACUGACUUUGUUUAAAGUCAGAUUUUAUUAGAGCUUCAGUUAGCUUUGCAUUCCAUUGUCUUGGAGCUUGUUUUAACCCAUACAAGGAUUUGAUGAGCCUGCAUACUUUCUCCCUUGGCUCUUAAAUCCUUGUGGCAGCUCCAUGUAGAUUUCAUCAUGUAAGUACCCUUGAAGAAAUGCGUUAUACACAUCCAUUUGAUAUAUAUGCCAUUUUUCUUUUGCUGCAAUUGCAAGAGUUGUUCUCACAGUUUUCAUUUUAAUUACUGGAGAAAAAAGUUUCUUGAUAAUCAAUUUCUUCUUUUUGAUUGUACCCCUUUGCUACUAACCUAGCUUUAAACCUCUCAAUUUCACCUGAAACCUUAUACUUCACUUUAUAAAUUCACUUACACCCUAUUGGAGUUUUUCCUUCAGGCAAGAAAACUAUGUCCCAUGUAUGAUUAUUCUGUAAUGCAUCAAUUUAUGUUUUCAUUGCCUCUAUCCAUCUAGGAUCUCUUAUUGCUUCUGCAUAAGUUGUAGUCGCAUUAACAUUUGAGGAGGUAGUAAUAAAUGCUCUGUAUGAUGAAGACAAACCUUCAUAACUGAUGUAGUUUGAUAUAGGGUAUGGAACCUCUUGAUGAAUAUUGAGUGACACAAAAUCACUUAACCAUAUAGGUGGUCUUUUCUCUCUGUCGGAUCUUCUAUGAACUACUGGAUUUGUGUUCUGAAAAGAACUUGUAGUUGGUAUUUCAAGUCUCUCGGAAUUUCUAUUUUGAGGCUCUUGAUAUAUAUUGUCCAUGGAGUUACUCUGUAUAGGUUCAGAGAUAUGACCAAGUUCUAUUUCCAUAAUAUUAUUUGAAGGUUGAGCUGCUAUCUGAUUAUGUAUAUGUAUAUGAUCAGGAAUUGAUAAUUGAAGACCAUGUAACUGAGAAUUUGAAGUGGAGAAUAUAGGAGUUGAAUAGUCUUCUUUCCUUUUGAAAGGGAAUACAUCUUCUCUUAAAACUACAACUAUAUUAACAAAGAAUACCCUAUCCUGUAGGUCUUACAAUAGAUACCCUUUUUGGAUUUCUGCAUAUCCCAUAUGAACUGUAGUUUUGGUUCUUGAGGACAGCUUGUCAUGUUGAAGAACUAUCUUAGCAUAACAUAGGCAGCCUAGUAUUUUUAAGUGAGUAUAGGAAGAAGACUUUUGAUAUAAUUUUUCAUGGGGAGUCUAAUUGUUGAUAACAGUACUUGGAAGCCUAUUUAUUAGAUAAACAGUAUCAGUAACAUAGUGACCCCAAAACUUUAUAGGUAUUUCAGCUUGAAAUCUAAUUGCCCUGGUGACUUCUAAAAUGUGUCUGUGCUUUCUUUCAGUAACUCCAUUUUGCUGAGGAGUGUAAGCAUAUGAAGUUUGAUGAACAAUUCCAUACUUCUUAAACAUUUCAUUGCAUACUGAGUUUAUAAACUCAGUACCAUUAUCAGUUCUGAUAGUUCUAACAAUUUUGUUAAACUGAGUUUUAAUUAGAACUUAAAACUGUUGUAACACAACACAUACUUCUGACUUUUGUUUAAGCAAAAACACCCAAGUCAUUCUUGAAAAAUCAUCCACCACAGUUAAGAAGUACUUAUUACCAUCAUAUGUAGGAGUCUUGUAUGGUCCCCAUAAAUACAUAUGAACUAGAUCAAACUUGCUUACAGAUUUAAAGUUACUGAUAGCAAAUGGUAAUUUGAUUGUUUAGCACAAGGACAAACUACGCAUUGCUUUACUGUAUCAACUAUAAGAUCAGUUUUACUAUGAAGUAACAUUUUGAGAACUGUAGAUGAAGCAUGACCAAACCUCUUGUGCCAAAGAUCCACUUCCUUUGUUGUAGUUGAGUUAUUCUGGUCACUUUCCUUUAUUCCAGCUGUUACUGCUAGGGAUGUUCCAAUCUUUUGUCUUUCUAGUAUAUAUAGUCCAUCAUCCUCCCUACCAAUCGCCCUUACCUUCCCACUGAAGAGUUUCUGAAAUACACAGAAAUUAGGGAAGAAGGUUGUUGAGCACUGCAAUUCCUUUGUCAGUUUAGAAACUUAUAAUAAAUUGAAUUUGAAUGAUGGAACAUAAAACACAUUAGUAAUUGUAUUUCCUUAUGAUAUAGUACUAUCCCCUGUGUGUGUCACAUAUGAAAUAUCUCCAUUUGGCAUGAAUAUUUUCUUUGGUUUUUCAGACUGAAUUACAGUAGACUCAUUUAGCAUAUUCAAAUUUGCCACCAUGUGAUUUGUGGCUCCUGUAUCUAUUAUCCAUUCUUAAAGAUUAUUGGAGACCAUCAUAGCACAACUAAUACCUGUUGUGUUGGCUGCAGGAGUUGAGACUGUGUUUGAGACCUGACUGGUUCCAGACUUGUUGAGAAGUUGAAGUAUCCGAUCAUAUUGCUCUCUUGAGAUGUGCAUCGUGACAUUUGAUUCAACUGAUUGAAAUUGAAUUCAUUCACAUGACCUUUGUCCUUAGAACCCUGAUUUGUAUUCAUAUUAACACUUUGUAAAGGACCUCUUGUUUCAUUAUAACUACCAUAUGUCCGUUGCAUCAUAUUUUCAGUCAUAACAUUGUAGGCAGCAUUGGUUCCAGUUCCUCCUUUCUUUUUUGUCUAUAAUCAGGAGGAUAGCCCAUAAUUUUAUAACAGUUUUCUUUGCUAUGCCCCUUGAGUUUACAAAAGUCACACUGAACAUUGUAAUUUUUCUUGAACCUUUGAUAUCAUAUGGAUCUUGAGUACAUGACUGCAUCAAAGCUUCCUGACAUCAUUGCAGGAUUAGCACCUAAAAUUCCUGUGGCAUUGGUUAUUAACUUCUGACCUUCAUCACUAACUAUCAUAGCAUAAGCUUGAUUAACUGUAGGAACUGGACUUCUCAUUAGAAUCUGACUCAUUGCCUGGGCAUAUGAGUCACUAAGUCCCAUUAAAAACUGAUACAACUUCAGUUUUUGAAGAUAUACCACAAACUCCUUAGAUUUAGGGUAAUCACAACCUGGUGCAGGCACCAAGGCUUCAAACACUUCCCAUAUAUAUUUCAAUUUCGAGAAGUAUACUGAAACAGACGCAGUACCUUGAGACAAUGUUGCAAUUUCUUUAUGCAGAUUAAACGACCUUGAAUCAUCUACCUUGUUAAGCCUCUCAAACAAAUCUUCCCAAACUAAUUGGGCACAGAAGCAUACAUAAUUCCUCCUAGAAGAUUUUUAGACACAGAAUUCAUAAUCCACGAGAAUAAAAUUGUAUUUACUCUCUCCUAGUGGUUCUAUAGAACUUCUGGAAACGUUUCCUUCUUACAUGAACCAUCAAUCAAACCUAACUAAUUUCUUCCUAGCAAGGAAACACGCAUAGAUCGAUUCCAGAUUGAGUAGUUCUCAAUACUUGUGAGUUGAAAUGAAAUGAUCUGAAUAUCGCUCACAUCAGCUGGAGACAGGAAUAGAGGAAGGUUAUAGUCAAUUCCAACUGGUUGAUUUCCAGUUCCAAUCGUUGAAUUUCCAAUUCCAGAGUUCAAUUGAUCCCUUGCAUGUGGUUGAGACCCAGAUCCAUGACCUAAACUUUGUUCGUUUUCCAUUGACAAGAUUUCACAAGAAUUUGAAUUUGAUUUUCAGUAAACAAGAGAUAAAAGAAGGAUCGAUCACAUGAGCUUAGAAUUCAAGCUCUGCCUCUCUGAUACCAUGAACUAAA
Molecule: long non-coding RNA, 4770 nt
Filed under: Nicotiana tabacum (common tobacco)
Lineage: Eukaryota; Viridiplantae; Streptophyta; Magnoliopsida; Solanales; Solanaceae
Description: long non-coding RNA (NTAB_LNC007183)
Source: RNAcentral